GACUCCUAUAACCUAACCAAGCUUCUUCUUGCUUCUCAAAGCUUUGAUGGUGUAGCCGUAGUCCGUAUGAGUCUUUGUCUUUGUAUCUUCGAACAAGGAUAUAAUACUUAGGCUUUUAAGAUCCAGUUGCGGUUCUAGUUGUUAUACUCACUCAUACACCUGACAUUUAGUCAA
RNAcentral lists this small RNA (174 nucleotides) under Arabidopsis thaliana (thale cress). Its description in RNAcentral is "ATSL267510". The stretch from base 50 to 132 matches the Rfam family "MIR5643 microRNA precursor family". Lineage: Eukaryota; Viridiplantae; Streptophyta; Magnoliopsida; Brassicales; Brassicaceae. The record is from RNAcentral.